Bolinopsis microptera is the source of this 847-nucleotide long non-coding RNA. RefSeq lists it as uncharacterized. The transcript is spliced from 2 exons. NCBI's taxonomy places the organism in Eukaryota, Metazoa, Ctenophora, Tentaculata, Lobata, Bolinopsidae. The record is from RefSeq and is a predicted model, not a curated record.
UGAUGUUAAACAUUUAAAUGUAUACUUUUCUAUUUAUUGGUAGUUGUUCGAAUGAUUAUUGUUAUUUGUUAGAACUUGCAGUUGUAGCCGACUUUGUUUUGCUGCCAGAAGUAGUAAUGAUUUGAAAUGGCUGUUGUAUGGUGUCACAACUAGUAACUACAAAGAGUGACCUAUUUUUGUAGGAAUUGUUUCCGUACGUUUAAAAAAAAUGUAUUAAUGAACAAACCUUUACAUUAAUGAAAUUCCCGGAUAUAGCAUGUGUUUAUAUGAACUACAUGCCGAAUGCCGAUAUGUGUGGAGUGUGGUUGCUCACUGUAUAUGCAGAGUUGGGAUGUGACUGAAAACAUUGAAGUUUCGUUACCGUUGGAAGAUUUCAUGUACAUAGUACAUACUAUGCAAAAUGUGGAGUCAAUUGUACGCUGACGAAAGCUGCAAAACAACUGAGCCAGCUCCACAAGCACGACCUGACUGAAGCAUUAAAUCUUAUUUGUCUGUGAAUAUUUCGCUACGUAGCUUGUCAGCCUUCAAUUUGAUUUUGGUGCCAAUCUGAAUAACUGUACAGCCAGUGCUGAAAAAUCCUUUAGCAAACUGAAGCUAUUUAAAAACUCCGAAGCACAAUGGGUAACUAAACGAUAGAUUAAGCAGUUUACAGUUUAGCCAUCAUCUCAAUCAAGAACUUAACAGCAAGACAACUUGACAAGAAAGAGCUGGCCCAAUUUGAUGCUCUUUCCAAACCUAAGAGAGUUGCUUGGAAUAUGAACUGUACGGUAAUGUAAAUAUUAUGUAGUAUUGAAAAAUGUAAAUUGAUUUUUAUUUCCAUAUUUUUAUCUGUUAUUGCUACCUGUUA